CAGUUAGAUAGUUUAAGUUAGAAUAAUAGCUUUGGGGGUUAUAGGUCUCUUGGUUUGAGUUAAUUGA
Molecule: transfer RNA, 67 nt
Filed under: Echinostomatidae sp. MSB para 30070
Lineage: Eukaryota; Metazoa; Platyhelminthes; Trematoda; Plagiorchiida; Echinostomatidae
Description: tRNA-Pro
Source: RNAcentral